This 72-nucleotide ribosomal RNA is filed under the name Fusarium graminearum. Its description in RNAcentral is "partial 28S ribosomal RNA". The record is from RNAcentral. Lineage: Eukaryota; Fungi; Ascomycota; Sordariomycetes; Hypocreales; Nectriaceae.
UUGACCUCGGAUCAGGUAGGAAUACCCGCUGAACUUAAGCAUAUCAAAAGGCGGAGGAACGGGAUCAUCACC